RNAcentral lists this ribosomal RNA (392 nucleotides) under uncultured bacterium. Its description in RNAcentral is "partial 16S ribosomal RNA". It matches the Rfam family "Bacterial small subunit ribosomal RNA", at positions 523 to 918 of the family's 1533-position model. The record is from RNAcentral.
AUACGUAGGAUCCGAGCGUUAUCCGGAUUUAUUGGGUUUAAAGGGUGCGCAGGCGGCCAUUUAAGUCAGCGGUUAAAUCGUGGGGCUCAACCCCAUUCUGCCGUUGAUACUGGGUGGCUUGAUUGCGGUCGAGGUUGGCGGAAUUCGUUGUGUAGCGGUGAAAUGCAUAGAUAUGACGAAGAACACCGAUUGCGUAGGCAGCUGACCAGACCGCAAAUGACGCUCAUGCGCGAAAGUGCGGGGAUCGAACAGGAUUAGAUACCCUGGUAGUCCGCACAGUAAACGAUGAAUACUUGUUUUCGGCGAUAUAAUGUCGGAGGCAAAGCGAAAGCGAUAAGUAUUCCACCUGGGGAGUACGCCGGCAACGGUGAAACUCAAAGGAAUUGACGGGG